AACGAACGCUGGCGGCGCGCCUAACACAUGCAAGUCGAACGAGAAUCCGGGGCAACCCGGUAGUAAAGUGGCAAACGGGUGAGGAAUACAUGGGUAACCUACCCUUGAGAAGGGAAUAACCCGCCGAAAGGUGAGCUAAUACCCUAUACGCUAUCUUUUUUUCGAAAAGGAUAGGAAAGCCGGGUCGAGGACCUGGUACUCAAGGAGGGGCUCAUGUCCUAUCAGCUUGUUGGUGGGGUAACGGCCUACCAAGGCUACGACGGGUAGCUGGUCUGAGAGGAUGAUCAGCCACACUGGCACUGAGAUACGGGCCAGACUCCUACGGGAGGCAGCAGUGAGGAAUAUUGCGCAAUGGGCGAAAGCCUGACGCAGCGACGCCGCGUGGGGAUGAAGGUUUUCGGAUUGUAAAGCUCUUUCAGCCGGGAAGAAACGCAUGGGUAAUACCCUGUGUGGAUGACGGUACCGGAAUAAGAAGCACCGGCUAACUACGUG
RNAcentral lists this ribosomal RNA (492 nucleotides) under uncultured bacterium. RNAcentral's name for it is "bacterial SSU rRNA". It matches the Rfam family "Bacterial small subunit ribosomal RNA", at positions 29 to 507 of the family's 1533-position model. The record is from RNAcentral.